Molecule: ribosomal RNA, 437 nt
Filed under: uncultured bacterium
Lineage: Bacteria
Description: bacterial SSU rRNA
Rfam family: Bacterial small subunit ribosomal RNA
Source: RNAcentral
UGGGGAAUAUUGCGCAAUGGGCGAAAGCCUGACGCAGCGACGCCGCGUGGGGGAUGAAGCUUCUCGGAGUGUAAACCCCUUUCGACCCGGACGAAACACCCGCAAGGGUUUGACGGUACGGGUAUAAGAAGCCCCGGCUAACUACGUGCCAGCAGCCGCGGUAAGACGUAGGGGGCCAGCGUUGCUCGGAAUUACUGGGCGUAAAGGGUUCGUAGGCGGUGCGGUGUGUCGGGAGUGAAAUCUCUGGGCUUAACCCAGAGGCUGCUUCCGAAACUGCCGUGCUCGAGUGCGGGAGAGGCCAGUGGAAUUGCAGGUGUAGCGGUGAAAUGCGUAGAUAUCUGCAGGAACACCCGUGGCGAAGGCGGCUGGCUGGACCACAACUGACGCUGAGGAACGAAAGCUAGGGGAGCAAACAGGAUUAGAUACCCGGGUAGUCC